Molecule: ribosomal RNA, 253 nt
Filed under: uncultured bacterium
Lineage: Bacteria
Description: partial 16S ribosomal RNA
Rfam family: Bacterial small subunit ribosomal RNA
Source: RNAcentral
UACGUAGGGUGCAAGCGUUAAUCGGAAUUACUGGGCGUAAAGCGUGCGCAGGCGGUUAUGUAAGUCAGAUGUGAAAUCCCCGGGCUUAACCUGGGAAUGGCAUUUGUGACUGCACGGCUAGAGUGUGUCAGAGGGGGGUAGAAUUCCACGUGUAGCAGUGAAAUGCGUAGAGAUGUGGAGGAAUACCGAUGGCGAAGGCAGCCCCCUGGGCCAAUACUGACGCUCAUGCACGAAAGCGUGGGGAGCAAACAGG